AAGGGUUCGCAAUAAUCAUACACUUCGGAAGCAUGAAGCCAGCCCAGGUUUUGGAAGCCCGGGCGCCGAUACUGGCCUGAGGUGAAAAUACUUGUAGGAGCGCCAAGUUAGGCGUGGUGCCUGGAUGGCGCUGGAUGAAGCCCCAGCGCGCGUCAGCUGCGUAUCCGUCAUCAAGUCGCCGAUGUGCUAAUGGCGAGGCCAGCAAUCCAGCAAGCAAGGCGAGCACAUCACUUCAGGAGUCCAGCCAUUGGGUCCACGGGGUGUGAGAAGGGAUCACUCUUUGCCUGGUGUUACACAGGGUACGCUAGAUGGCCGGUAAAGCUGCUGCUGCUGCUGCUGCUGCUGCUGCUGGUAGAGUGACGUAACAACUGGACUCAAAAUAGUUGUCUCAUUGUGCGUGGUGAACGAGUUGGGCAGCAGGUAGGGAUAACGAGGUAAGGAUUAUAAAUGGGUUCGCGGGGCAAAACCCUUUAUUAGCUGUGCAUCCAAGGAAUGGAUGGAAGCCUUGGUGGUGGGCAGUGGCCUAUGACAGGAUGGUAUGCAUGGAUCCACAUACUCUACGUGGCGUGCUUGUGCAGGUACGGUUCAAGUGUCAGAAGAGGAUCAGCCCCCUUGGCAUCUCCCGCGAGUGCUCCUUGUCCUUGGCAUUACAUCGAGUUCCUAGUUGUCCGUUGGUAUACAGGAAUCCGGUAUCGUUCGGUAUCGUCCGGUAUCGUCCGGUAUCGUCCCAAAGUGCAUGACGCUUCUGUACGUGGUGAUAUAUAUGUACAGACGCGUCAUGCUCUUUACUUAUGGUUGGAGCUCAAGCUAAGAACUCCUUUCAUGUCAUAGCCUCUCCCCUCAGCCAUACUGCAAGGGAAGAGUGUGUUCGUAAAACGCCUUCGCUGUGCUCAGGG
This 896-nucleotide long non-coding RNA is filed under the name Volvox carteri. Its description in RNAcentral is "long non-coding RNA (VCAR_LNC000440)". The record is from RNAcentral. Lineage: Eukaryota; Viridiplantae; Chlorophyta; Chlorophyceae; Chlamydomonadales; Volvocaceae.